GACGAACUUUGGCGGCGUGCUUAACACAUGCAAGUCGAACGGUAAGGCUCCAGCUUGCUGGGGUACACGAGUGGCGAACGGGUGAGUAACACGUGGGUGACCUGCCCUGCACUUCGGGAUAAGCCUGGGAAACUGGGUCUAAUACCGGAUAGGACCGCACCGUGAGGGUGUGGUGGAAAGUUUUUUCGGUGUGGGAUGGGCCCGCGGCCUAUCAGCUUGUUGGUGGGGUAAUGGCCUACCAAGGCGGCGACGGGUAGCCGGCCUGAGAGGGUGGACGGCCACAUUGGGACUGAGACACGGCCCAGACUCCUACGGGAGGCAGCAGUGGGGAAUAUUGCACAAUGGGCGGAAGCCUGAUGCAGCGACGCCGCGUGGGGGAUGACGGCCUUCGGGUUGUAAACUCCUUUCACCAUCGACGAAGGGUUUCUGACGGUAGAUGGAGAAGAAGCACCGGCUAACUACGUGCCAGCAGCCGCGGUAAUACGUAGGGUGCGAGCGUUGUCCGGAAUUACUGGGCGUAAAGAGCUCGUAGGUGGUUUGUCGCGUCGUCUGUGAAAUUCCGGGGCUUAACUCCGGGCGUGCAGGCGAUACGGGCAUAACUUGAGUACUGUAGGGGAGACUGGAAUUCCUGGUGUAGCGGUGAAAUGCGCAGAUAUCAGGAGGAACACCGGUGGCGAAGGCGGGUCUCUGGGCAGUAACUGACGCUGAGGAGCGAAAGCAUGGGGAGCGAACAGGAUUAGAUACCCUGGUAGUCCAUGCCGUAAACGGUGGGCGCUAGGUGUGGGUUUCCUUCCACGGGAUCCGUGCCGUAGCUAACGCAUUAAGCGCCCCGCCUGGGGAGUACGGCCGCAAGGCUAAAACUCAAAGGAAUUGACGGGGGCCCGCACAAGCGGCGGAGCAUGUGGAUUAAUUCGAUGCAACGCGAAGAACCUUACCUGGGCUUGACAUAUACAGGAUCGCGCCAGAGAUGGUGUUUCCCUUGUGGCUUGUAUACAGGUGGUGCAUGGUUGUCGUCAGCUCGUGUCGUGAGAUGUUGGGUUAAGUCCCGCAACGAGCGCAACCCUUGUCUUAUGUUGCCAGCACGUUGUGGUGGGGACUCGUAAGAAACUGCCGGGGUUAACUCGGAGGAAGGUGGGGAUGACGUCAAAUCAUCAUGCCCCUUAUGUCCAGGGCUUCACACAUGCUACAAUGGUCGGUACAGUGGGUUGCCAGUCCGUGAGGGCGAGCUAAUCCCGCAAAGCCGGUCUCAGUUCGGAUCGGGGUCUGUAACUCGACCCCGUGAAGUCGGAGUCGCUAGUAAUCGCAGAUCAGCAACGCUGCGGUGAAUACGUUCCCGGGCCU
RNAcentral lists this ribosomal RNA (1341 nucleotides) under uncultured bacterium. RNAcentral's name for it is "partial 16S ribosomal RNA". It matches the Rfam family "Bacterial small subunit ribosomal RNA", at positions 28 to 1381 of the family's 1533-position model. The record is from RNAcentral.